Molecule: small nucleolar RNA, 145 nt
Organism: Acomys russatus (golden spiny mouse)
Lineage: Eukaryota; Metazoa; Chordata; Mammalia; Rodentia; Muridae
Product: small nucleolar RNA SNORA48
Exons: 1
Source: RefSeq, a predicted model, not a curated record
CACCACCCAGCAAUGGGCAAAAAGACACCUUGUUAAUGGUGGUGUUCUUACAUAAGUCAGGGGUAUAGCAGAUGACAGUCCUUUGUUCACCCUAGUUUGAUGCCUGACUUGAUGGCCAUAGCAGUCUUAUACCUAGGACUCAUAA